Molecule: small nuclear RNA, 103 nt
Organism: Dipodomys ordii (Ord's kangaroo rat)
Lineage: Eukaryota; Metazoa; Chordata; Mammalia; Rodentia; Heteromyidae
Source: Ensembl
UUGCUUCCGCAACACAUAUACUAAAAUUGGAAUGAUACAGAGAACAUUAGCAUGGCCUCUGUGCAAGGAUGACACCCAAAUUUGUGAAGUGGUCCAUAUUUUU